AACGGCCAUACCAUGUUGAAAUACACGGUUCUCGUCUGAUGCACCAGGAAAGUUAAGCAACAAUUGGGCGUGGUUAGUACUUGGAUGGGGUGACCGCUUGGGAACACCACGUGCCGU
Molecule: ribosomal RNA, 117 nt
Filed under: Cryptocercus punctulatus (brown-hooded cockroach)
Lineage: Eukaryota; Metazoa; Arthropoda; Insecta; Blattodea; Cryptocercidae
Source: RNAcentral